Equus caballus (horse) is the source of this 63-nucleotide non-coding RNA. The record is from Rfam. Lineage: Eukaryota; Metazoa; Chordata; Mammalia; Perissodactyla; Equidae.
AGGCUGAGGGGCAGAGAGCGAGACUUUUCUAUUUUCCAAAAGCUCGGUCUGAGGCCCCUCAGU